Molecule: long non-coding RNA, 458 nt
Filed under: Rattus norvegicus (Norway rat)
Lineage: Eukaryota; Metazoa; Chordata; Mammalia; Rodentia; Muridae
Description: long non-coding RNA NONRATT018120
Source: RNAcentral
CUUCAGAUUAUCUUGUUCCUUUGUAAAAUAUCCAAGGAAAUUAAGCACCAUAAUUGUUGAUUUAUAGGGUUAUAUUUCAGGCAGUUAGUAACAAUUUCAGAGAAGAUGCAUACAUGGUAUAUAUUCCUCACCUUUAGUCUUUAUAGAUUAAAACUUUGUGCAUUAAAAAAAUGAUACAAAACAAAGAGGUCAAUGAUCUAAAAGUGGCCCAUAAUGUGCUAAAGAACAAUCCCAGGAGGGAAACACUAUGCAAUGAGAUAGGAGAAGGCAUAGAGAAAAAAUGUCAGGGCUGGAGAGAUGGCUCAGCAUUCAAGAGCACUGAGUGCUCUUCCAGAGGUCCUGAGUUCAAAUCCCAGCACCCACAUGGUGGCUCACAAUCAUCUGUAAUGAGAUCUGAUGCCCUCUUCUGGCGUUUCUGAAGACAGGUGCAGUGUACUGAUAUAUAAUAAAUAAAUAAA